UAUAAAGAAGUAACGUCCACCAUGUCGUCAAUAAUUGGCCAUCAAAUGAUCUCGUUUGUUGUGUCGCACUUUUAAUAUUGCUUAGGUUAAAACAAACUUUACAAAAAAUAAACUCAACUUUUCUAUUAAAAGUUUUUAGUCCGUUUUACUCAUUUGGUUAAGCUAAUCUGUUUUAUUCGUGAUAGUUAACUAUAGCUAACAUAGUCCAAGCUUGUUGCUAUGGAUGUGAGUUUAAGGGUCAGUGCGCAGUGAUUCAGAACGCUACUGACCGGGACUAUGUUUUGGUCCAUGUAACUGGUAGUAAAGCUUCAUUUAUGUAUUUAUUUUUCUAACAAAAUAAAGCUUUAUUGUACCCAGCAGACAUUACUAACGUUAACGUUCAGAUUUAUAGGCGUCCCCCUUUAAAUGGACACCUCUGGACGGUGAAGUCUGAGGACGCUUACCUGGCUUGGCAGAGGAGACCGAUGCUGCCAUGACUGCGAGCAGCAUGAGAAGUCGAGAAAUCCUCCUCUGGGAGAAUCCAGUACGAACAAGUAGAUCUCUUCUGAGGAUAAUCGCUAUGUCCCUGAAGGAAUGUGUGUGUCCAGAGUGAUUGUCUCUGUGUCUGAGAGCGAAGUGACAAAGGUGCUUCUCCCCCUUCCUCCUUUAUACAGCCUUUUUUAGAGGGAGGGAGGGGGGCUGGGUGGGUAGUUCCCACAACAGCCCCCCCCAUACACACACAAACUCUCUUUCCCUCAAACACACACACAAACACACAUUUCGGCACAUAUUGACCCCACAUGUAGAGGGGUAAUUCAAAUGACAGGAAGCCCCCUCCGUGCACCCUGAACUGCCCCUUGAACACACACCCUUAUGCUGCAUGCUGUAUUUUGUGUGCGCAAGUGGCUGAUAUUUUCAAAGAGAGCGGAGCGAGCAGGCAGGGAAGAUUUAUCACCUGUAACAUUAGAGCAAAGAUUUAAGAAGCUGUGACUGGAAAUAGCAGGUCCUCCAAGAACCAGAUCCCGCCUGGCUCUCCCCUGCCCCCCAACAGAUGACGACACACACACACUUGGAUGCACACACACACACACACAUAUACAUCUGGAACUUUUGGGUGUUGAGGUGGUGGGGGCAGUUUGCAUCCAGCAUUUUGGGGGGCAGCGGUCCUCCGAAUGAAAUCUAGGGGACGGCAGACUAAUGAUGGCCAAAGACGUCUUGACUGUCUGUGUAGAUGCCGUGUACUGUCUCUGAGUGGCAGCAUGAAAGCCUGCCUCUGUAAUGUUGGCAUUUAGUUGGUUGUUUCUCUCAUCACAUGGAUAAACCGUUACACUUAAAAAAAACCCCCACAAUAUCUUGGUGAACUUGAUAAAUAUCUUAUAGCACAAGGAUAACCAG
Oreochromis aureus is the source of this 1374-nucleotide long non-coding RNA. NCBI's taxonomy places the organism in Eukaryota, Metazoa, Chordata, Actinopteri, Cichliformes, Cichlidae. The record is from Ensembl.